Long non-coding RNA from Falco tinnunculus (common kestrel), 2602 nucleotides. The record is from Ensembl. Lineage: Eukaryota; Metazoa; Chordata; Aves; Falconiformes; Falconidae.
AGAAAGUGCAUUUAUAUACUUAUACCCACAUAUGUAUGUGUUUAUAUAGCGAUCUGUGUAUUUAGGCAAACGGAGGCACAGAUACAGCUCUCGGUCACUACACACAGACACCCCUGUGCUGUGCCUGCCGUGGGGGGCUGCAGCCCGGGGGUGCACGGGGCUCUGGUCCCUUGAGCUGGUGAAAGGGGGCAGAUGGAUUAAUGCUGUGUGGUGCUGGGCCCUGCCUGGGCACCCCCAGGGCCGAUGCAGAGCAUGGGCACUGUGGGAGCGGCUGAGGGACAGGGGGGUUCAGCCUGGAGGAAGGAGCUCAGGGGGGCCUUACUGCUCUGCAGCUGCCUGACGGGGGGCUGUGGGCAGGGGGGUGCCCAUCUCUUCUCCCAGGGGACAAGCGACAGGACAAGAGGAAACGGCCUCAGGUUGCACCGGGGGAGGUUUGGGGAAACAUUUCUUCACUGAAGGGGGGCCAAGCACAGGCACAGGGGACACGGUGGGGUCACCAUCCUGGGAGGUGUUUAAAAGCCGUGUGGAUGUGGCGCUUGGGGACGUGGGCAGUGGUGGGCUUGGCAGUGCUCAGUGCUGGGUUAGUGCCUGGACUCUGGGCUUUGCCCACUUAAAACGAUUCUGUGACUCUGCAGGGCCCCGCCCCACCACACAACAAGACUGCUGGCCCUUGGUGCAGCUGCCCCCUGCCCUGACGCCCUGCCCUGACACACUCUGCAUCUCUCCAAGGAUGCUCUCCUGGCUCUGGCUGCUGUCCCCACUGCUGCUCGUGCACCUUGUCACAGCCGAGGCCGAGGAGCCAUGAGGACGAAGGGCAAGGUGAGCGCAGAGAGCAAACACCAGCAGGGCUUCCCAUGGGAAACGGCAGCUUCCAAGCAGGGAAUUGCCUUCGGCACUGGUAAGCAGCCUGGCUGCUCACAGCCUGAAUAUUAACCUCUGAAAAUAUAUAGUCAAUCAAUCAAAAAACUGCAGUAGGGAAAAGAUACAUUAAUUGCGGCAGCUGGAGCAGCUAGGGGGCAGGUUGGCACAGGGAGGUGUCUCUGCCCCUGCGCCCUGGGGAGGACAGUCACAGUGUCCGAGAUGGCAGAAGGUCUGUGCAGAGACUGCCCCGGCCCAGCCCCGUACGGGGCACUGCAGCGCCCUGCUGCUAACGCUACUGAACAGCACCUUGCGUGAUGCAAAGUUAAUGGAAACUUAAAAAAAAAAAAUAACCUCUGUUUUUCCUAAUCUCCCCACCUCUACCUCUGGUGCGCACGCAGUCUCUGUGCAUCCUCACAGCACCCUGCCCAGACAGAGCAGGGCCCCUGCUGAAGGCAGGUGACGUGCAGCCAACACAGUGACAGUGCUGUUUUGGGUGGGUUUUUUGUUGCAGCAGCAGCAAGAGAUGUGACAGUGAAGAAUAAAGCCGAGCAGCACCCAGUGCUCUGGUUUAAAGCUGUCUCCCAUUCCUGAGUCCUCGCCGGUCCCCAGCUCUUCAUCUGGCAUCUCUGGGUCACUUGGUCAACCUGAGAAGUGCUGUGCCACACUGAGCUCACGCACCGUGGCACCAAUGCAGGGAGAUUCAAAAGCCGCACUGCUGGCACUGACAGGGGGGUUGCUUUUUUUUUUCCUUUUUAUUUUGGGUUCUCAUUAUAAAUAUUAACAAAUCUGACAAAAAGUACACAGAUAGAUAAUACUGAAAUACAAAAGUCUUUUAGGAUGCAGGUAAGGACAGUUUCUGCAGCCUUCACAUGGUAGCAAAACAUCAGUAUCAAACAUUUCACGAGGCCUGGCAUGACAACCACCACUCUGCAUGCAGCUGGGACGGAUGGACCGUCCGUUUAGAAAAGGACCAGGAUACAAAGUGAAGAAACCCACACACGCACAUCGUGUCCUACUCCACCUCGAGCAUAAACCAGCUCUGGAGCACGAUGUGCUGAAACAAAUGAUGGAUUGAAAGUAACUUUGCAAGGAAAGGGAGGCACAGCUGACCUGGCGCGCCCGUAGCUCUCCAGGAAGCUUAGACCCAAACCAGGCGUUAAGGUGCUGGACCAGUGACAGACAGAAUUACCAGGAACAUCCCACUUGACACGCUGCCGGCAUUCAAAGAAACCCCAUGCAUAUCUGUAGAAUGCAUUACAAAUAUUAAAUUAUUAAAAAAGCCCCUAUGAACAUCGGGUUUUACCCCCCAUAUCAAACAAGGUAUGACACGAUCAUCACUUUGAAAAGUAAACAGGUUUCCAGAGAUCGGAUUGCUUUCCAAAAAAAAGAAGUUGGCAACACUCACGCACACACACACACACACACACACAGCUGCAGGGCUGAGAAGCUGUAGGUAAUUGAGGCCGAUGGGGAAAGAGCAGCUCUUCCUAAGAAAUCACGGCUUAAAGGCUUCAAAAAUUUCUGACAAAUUGCAGCAUUUUGUGGAAGGUUUUAGCUCAUCCCCCCGGGCACCGGGGUCUUGUGCAAACACGACUUUGUUCACGCAAGCAUCAGCACCCAGGAGGAUGAGGAUGCAGAGCCUGGCCAUGGUGGGUCACAGAGGACGAGAGCUGGGAUUAUUACUAUAAUGUUAUUAUAUUACUACUCUGCUGUACACAGAAAUUUGAUUCGGAUGCCGUUU